This 253-nucleotide ribosomal RNA is filed under the name uncultured bacterium. RNAcentral describes it as "partial 16S ribosomal RNA". It matches the Rfam family "Bacterial small subunit ribosomal RNA", at positions 524 to 776 of the family's 1533-position model. The record is from RNAcentral.
UACAGAGGGUGCGAGCGUUGUCCGGAAUCACUGGGCGUAAAGGGCGCGUAGGUGGCUUGGUAAGCGUGUGGUGAAAGUCCGGGGCUCAACCCCGGAUCUGCCGUGCGAACUGCUGAGCUUGAGCACUGUAGAGGCAGGUGGAAUUUCGGGUGUAGCGGUGGAAUGCGUAGAUAUCCGAAAGAACACCAGUGGCGAAGGCGGCCUGCUGGGCAGUAGCUGACACUGAGGCGCGACAGCGUGGGGAGCAAACAGG